UCUGUCAGAACUCUGAGCCUAAGCUAAGCCAUUGCAUCCCCUGUGACUUGCAGGUAUAUGCCCAGAUGGCCUGAAUAACUGAAGAAUCACAAAAGAAGUGAAUAUGCCCUGCCCCACCUUAACUGAUGACAUUCCACCACAAAAGAAGUGUAAAUGGCCGGUCCUUGCCUUGAGUGAUGACAUUACCUUGUGAAAGUCCUUUUCCUGGCUCAUCCUGGCUCAAAAAGCUCCCCCACUGAGUACUUUGCGACCCCCACUCCUGCCUGCCAGAGAACAAACCCCCUUUGACUGUAAUUUUCCUUUACCCACCCA
RNAcentral lists this long non-coding RNA (312 nucleotides) under Homo sapiens (human). RNAcentral describes it as "HSALNT0311253". Lineage: Eukaryota; Metazoa; Chordata; Mammalia; Primates; Hominidae. The record is from RNAcentral.